RNAcentral lists this ribosomal RNA (497 nucleotides) under uncultured bacterium. RNAcentral describes it as "partial 16S ribosomal RNA". It matches the Rfam family "Bacterial small subunit ribosomal RNA", at positions 28 to 507 of the family's 1533-position model. The record is from RNAcentral.
GAUGAACGCUGGCGGCGGGCCUAAUACAUGCAAGUCGAGCGAACAGACGAGGAGCUCGCCCCUCUUACGCUAGCGGCGGACGGGUGAGGAACACGUGGAUAACCGAUCUAUAGGACUGGGAUACGUUCGGGAGAGCGAAUCUAGCAUCGGAUAAUAUAUUGAACGGGAGGGUUCAUUAGUGAAAGCGGUAUUAGCUGUGACUUAUAGAUAGAACCUCGCCGCAUUAGCUAGUUGGUACGGUAACGGCUUACCAAGGCAACGAUGCGUAGCCGACCUGAGAGGGUGAUCGGCCACACUGGAACUGAGACACGGUCCAGACUCCUACGGGAGGCAGCAGUAGGGAAUCUUCCGCAAUGGGCGAAAGCCUGACGGAGCCACGCCGCGUGUGUGAUGAAGGUCUUCGGAUCGUAAAGCUCUGUUAUUAGGGAGGAACAAAAGUGUAAGUAACUCUGCACGUCUUGACGGUACCUACUCAGAAAGCAACGGCUAACUACGUG